GGCCGUCCCGUGGCUCAGUGGCAGAGCGUCGGUUUUGCAAUCCUAAGAGCCUCAGUUCGAUUCCCCGGCGUGGUUC
RNAcentral lists this transfer RNA (76 nucleotides) under Sphaerodactylus townsendi. RNAcentral's name for it is "tRNA-Ala". The record is from RNAcentral. Lineage: Eukaryota; Metazoa; Chordata; Lepidosauria; Squamata; Sphaerodactylidae.